CUUUUUAACUAGGAUUGCCUCUUUCCUGCAUUUUGAAGAACCUUCCUCCUCAUCCCACCUGAAGAGAGAUAAAUGCCAAAAUCUUAAACUCCAGAAUGUCCCAAGUUGGAAGAGACCUGUAGAAGUGUGGUCAUCUUUGAAGUCUAAUUUAAAUGCAGUUUGCCCACGUUUCCAUGGAAGGCUGAUGGCACCUCUCCUGCCCUCCAAAGCCUGGCUCCAGCAGUCCAUCCCCAGCUGACCCUGUCCCUUCUCAGGCCGCCUGGCCCCACCUCAGAGCCCUUGGCAGCACACCUUGUUCUCAGAGGUGUUUCAGUUUCUGAUGGAAACAUGCCAGGAUUGAAAGGUACCAGCACUUGUUGGGAUGGGAUGCUGUGCCAGGGAGCAGCAGGAUGUGCCUCUGGAAGAGGAACUCAGCCCACUCACUGAUCUGUCCCAG
This 436-nucleotide long non-coding RNA is filed under the name Zonotrichia albicollis (white-throated sparrow). Its description in RNAcentral is "lncRNA (ENSZALG00000005693.1)". Lineage: Eukaryota; Metazoa; Chordata; Aves; Passeriformes; Passerellidae. The record is from RNAcentral.